AUGCUUUCGUCAAGAUUGCUGCGUAUUGCGAACAACCAGCCCGAGUCCUGGAGAUGGAUUUCCCUCCCAGGCUCAAGAUCUGCCGAAUGUGCGGAGCUCCUAAGUGUGUACUUCCUCGCGGUCACUGGAGAGGUCAAACCAAGGGACCUGUCUGCAGGGAAAAGCUACUCGGUUUACCUAGUGUACAAGCUGGCGACCAACACAUCUGGUAUAAAAGGUUAUGUGCAGUCGUCGUCGCUCAGGCUCUACGGGGAGCACAUCGUCGCCACCAACAAGGUUAGUCUCGACCCUGAAACGCACAUGUCGGUCAAUGAUGUUAUCUACCCUAUCACGAGGGGCGAUGGCUGGUUGGAGCUUAAGUUGGCGGACUUCGCAAACGAUGACGAGAUGCUACAAGAGAAGGGGGUGAUCGUGGAUCUCCGUGAUGAGGACGUCACCGUUGAGAAGAGAGGACUCAUCGUGGAGGGUAUGGAGUUCAGGAGCAACUAG
RNAcentral lists this ribosomal RNA (489 nucleotides) under Triticum aestivum (bread wheat). RNAcentral's name for it is "partial small subunit ribosomal RNA". Lineage: Eukaryota; Viridiplantae; Streptophyta; Magnoliopsida; Poales; Poaceae. The record is from RNAcentral.